UACGUAGGCAGCGAGCGUUGUUCGGAGUUACUGGGCGUAAAGCGUGCGCAGGCGGUUUUGUAAGUCUGUCGUGAAAUCCCCGGGCUCAACCUGGGAAUGGCGAUGGAGACUGCAAGGCUAGAGUUUGGCAGAGGGGGGUAGAAUUCCACGUGUAGCAGUGAAAUGCGUAGAGAUGUGGAGGAACACCGAUGGCGAAGGCAGCCCCCUGGGUCAAAACUGACGCUCAUGCACGAAAGCGUGGGGAGCAAACAGG
This 253-nucleotide ribosomal RNA is filed under the name uncultured bacterium. RNAcentral describes it as "partial 16S ribosomal RNA". It matches the Rfam family "Bacterial small subunit ribosomal RNA", at positions 524 to 776 of the family's 1533-position model. The record is from RNAcentral.